This is a long non-coding RNA of Solanum lycopersicum (tomato), 397 nucleotides long. RefSeq lists it as uncharacterized. NCBI's taxonomy places the organism in Eukaryota, Viridiplantae, Streptophyta, Magnoliopsida, Solanales, Solanaceae. The record is from RefSeq and is a predicted model, not a curated record.
UCUAAAAAAAACUCUGGUUUAAAAAAGAAAAGAGGCAUAGGCAGAAAAUUUAUCUUAGGUGACGAACGAGAAGAAUAACCAUAACUACCACUCGUAAAAGCAAAGAACUUCUCAUCCUUUUCUAUUCUGCAUAAGAUUCGAUUCCGAGUACGAGCACAUGUCAUGGAGCAUUUUGAGUCCGAGCUUGGAGUGUCUUUUAGUUAUGGUUAGCUGCUUGGUUGUUCCGUGGCUCAUACAUCCUUCUGUCUUUUACUUAUUCUGUUAUUUUAGUAUCCAAACAGGAUAUCUCUUAUGUUAGAUUUGUCAUUUUAGUUUCAGACUUGCAUCAUAUUUUAAAAGCUCUUAUACUGAUGACUUUAAUUUUUGGGUAGUAUUUUUUUCAGUUUCCGCAUUCGUA